RNAcentral lists this ribosomal RNA (520 nucleotides) under uncultured archaeon. RNAcentral describes it as "bacterial SSU rRNA". It matches the Rfam family "Archaeal small subunit ribosomal RNA", at positions 325 to 849 of the family's 1478-position model. The record is from RNAcentral.
ACGGGGUGCAGCAGGCGCGAAACCUCCGCAAUGCGCGAAAGCGUGACGGGGUUACCCCAAGUGCCAUCCGCUGAGGACGGCUUUUCUUCGGUGUAAUGAGCCGAAGGAAUAAGGGGAGGGCAAGACUGGUGUCAGCCGCCGCGGUAAUACCAGCUCCCCGAGUGGUAGGGACAAUUAUUGGGCUUAAAGCGUCCGUAGCCGGCCUGACAAGUCCUUCGUUAAAUCCAACGACCUAAUCGUUGGGCUGCGGGGGAUACUCUCAGGCUAGGGGACGGGAGAGGCCGAUGGUAUUCUUGGGGUAGGGGUGAAAUCCUAUAAUCCCAGGAGGACCACCAGUGGCGAAGGCGAUCGGCUAGAACGCGCUCGACGGUGAUGGACGAAAGCUGGGGGAGCGAACCGGAUUAGAUACCCGGGUAGUCCCAGCUGUAAACGAUGCGAGCUAGGUGUUGGGGUGGUUACGAACCGCUUCAGUGCCGUAGGGAAACUGUUAAGCUCGCCGUCUGGAAGUACGUCGCAAGGC